AUGGAUGCUUGCUUCUUAGUUCAGCUGCUCCUUGGGAAGUUCUUCAUGUCCUCACCAGACUACUGCAUACGGCUUUUCGUUGCCAAUGAAAUGCUCCUCUGGUUAAAACCGGGCUGCAAAUCGAUGCCUUAUAAACGUUACCUGCUUUGGGGUCAGCACCAGCGUGCCAUCAGGCUGCUCUUCUUGCUAAGGCCGUGGCGUUAUUUGGGUGUGUGCGCACAAAAACAGGCAGCGAGAGCUCUGUACCCCUUGAAAAACAUCCCCUGUCCUGCAGGGGUGUACAGCCUGUGAUCCCAAACUGUACCCGGGGCUUCUGCCACCUGCCCUAUCCCUCGUGCUAACAGGGGGACACGGGGGGGUCUUUAUAUCCAAGGUAUGUCAAAAAAUUGAGGAAAUCUUCCUCCAAUUGCAAUUCCUUGUGUGCAGCACUGUCGGUCCUGCCAUUGGCACCUCGACUUGGAGAUGCUCGCUGCUGCAGCUCCCUCCCAAAGGUGCUAAGCACUCUUCCCCCUGCAGGACUUCGUUGCUUCUUUAUAGGUCUGAAACGAGACGUUUGUGCUGGAAAUGGCCGAUAAUUGUACACAAACCGCCAGGUUUAGGUUACAGGGAGGAACCACUGAUGCGAUACCCGAAGCACAUCCCUGGCUUUUCAUGGGAACGAGGAGGAGGAGGUCCAUGGGAAAGCGUCAGCAAGGCAGAGACAGCAUGAAACCUGUUUCGUUGCAGUUCGGUUGCUCAUUCUCACAAGUAUAAAAUGUAAAAAUAAUCCAGACAGUUCGGCAGACUGGGCAACCUGCUUAACACCGAAACAAACACAGCUUUCAUCUCCAGCAUCUGGAAGCAGAUGAAUAGCAACAGGUACAGGUGGUGGAACUGGAAAACUUGGUUUGAGAUGAUCACUUUCUCCUUCAGACAGCACUAUUAUGUGCGUUCCCUGUUAUACAGCCUUUAAUUUAAUUAGCUCCCAUAUUCUCUUGGAUACAAAUGCCCACCCCUGUUUGCAUCCUCGGUCUAUUCUUCGCGGUGUGCUCCAGAUAGCAUUUCACAAUGCGGCUAAGAGAAGUCGGUGCCAUCAGAGCGAGCAUUGAUUUCUUAAUUUAAUGCAUGCCCUAUGGUGUGCAAAAGAUAAUACCCCCUGCUUAGACAAGAUGAUUU
This 1155-nucleotide long non-coding RNA is filed under the name Anser cygnoides (Swan goose). RNAcentral describes it as "lncRNA (ENSACDG00005005689.1)". The record is from RNAcentral. Lineage: Eukaryota; Metazoa; Chordata; Aves; Anseriformes; Anatidae.